GUGACCCCAGGAUGGGCGAGGCCACCCGCCGAGUUUAAGCAUAUCAAUAAGCGGAGGAGA
This 60-nucleotide ribosomal RNA is filed under the name Dendrobium sp. Jin X-H s.n. 9. Its description in RNAcentral is "partial 26S ribosomal RNA". The record is from RNAcentral. Lineage: Eukaryota; Viridiplantae; Streptophyta; Magnoliopsida; Asparagales; Orchidaceae.